RNAcentral lists this ribosomal RNA (464 nucleotides) under uncultured bacterium. RNAcentral's name for it is "partial 16S ribosomal RNA". It matches the Rfam family "Bacterial small subunit ribosomal RNA", at positions 28 to 507 of the family's 1533-position model. The record is from RNAcentral.
GACGAACGCUGGCGGCGUGCUUAACACAUGCAAGUCGAACGGAAAGGCCCCUUUGGGGUUCCUGAGGGGUGAACGGGUGAGUAACACGUGACUAACCUGUCCCUGACCUCGGGGUAACUUCAGGCAACGGGGGCCAAUACCGGAUAGGAAAUCUUAGUGUACAGUGGGGGGUUGAAAGGUUCGUGGGGUUUGGAGGGACUCGUGGCUUAUCAGCUUGUUGGCGGGGGCGUGGCUUACCAAGGCCUGGGCGGGUAGCCGGCCUGAGAGGGCGACCGGCCACAUUGAGACUGAGAGGCGGCCCAGGCGCCGACGGGAGGCAGCAGGGGGGAAUAUUGCACAAGGGGCGCAGGCCUAAUGCAGCAACGCCGCGGGCGGGAUAACGGCCUUCGGGUUGUAAACCGCUUUCAUCAGGGGCGAAGCUUGUGGUGACGGUACCUGCAGAAGAAGCACCGGCUAACUACGUG